UUUGCAUGGGGGGCUUGCUAUACAUGCAAAGUCGAGCGAACUGAUUAGAAGCUUGCUUCUAUGACGUUAGCGGCGGACGGGUGAGUAACACGUGGGCAACCUGCCUGUAAGACUGGGAUAACUUCGGGAAACCGAAGCUAAUACCGGAUAGGAUCUUCUCCUUCAUGGGAGAUGAUUGAAAGAUGGUUUCGGCUAUCUCUUACAGAUGGGCCCGCGGUGCAUUAGCUAGUAGGUGAGGUAACGGCUCACCAAGGCAACGAUGCAUAGCCGACCUGAGAGGGUGAUCGGCCACACUGGGACUGAGACACGGCCCAGACUCCUACGGGAGGCAGCAGUAGGGAAUCUUCCGCAAUGGACGAAAGUC
RNAcentral lists this ribosomal RNA (364 nucleotides) under Bacillus sp. BECR14. Its description in RNAcentral is "bacterial SSU rRNA". It matches the Rfam family "Bacterial small subunit ribosomal RNA", at positions 38 to 383 of the family's 1533-position model. Lineage: Bacteria; Bacillati; Bacillota; Bacilli; Caryophanales; Bacillaceae. The record is from RNAcentral.